RNAcentral lists this long non-coding RNA (39333 nucleotides) under Prunus persica (peach). RNAcentral's name for it is "long non-coding RNA (PPER_LNC002427)". The record is from RNAcentral. Lineage: Eukaryota; Viridiplantae; Streptophyta; Magnoliopsida; Rosales; Rosaceae.
ACUAGGGUUCUUGAGAUGUUGAAUACUAAAUGAAGUAAAGGCAGCACCCAUGGUGAUGAAUUCGAUGGAUGGAAAAUUUUGCAAUGAAGCUAGAGAGGGCGCCCAUGGUUGAAGAAAAUCAUAUAUGAGCAAAUCUGGGCUUAGGGUUUUGAGGAUGUUGGAGAAGUUGUUGCUGGACAUAUCAAAGGCCCUUUUGAGAGUGGACAUGAGAUGGGGAGGGAGGCCAUUGGUGGUAUGGUAGUGAGGUGGGAGUUCAGGCAAGUCAUCAUGUGGAAGAUGGAGUUCCACAAAUUCAAUGCAAUGAGAAUAUUUUUGGGAGAGUUUAGGCUUGAUGGAGCUGAGAUUUACAGGCGUGGAACAAAUAAAGAUGUGAAAAUUUCUCUUGGUGGUCAGCUUCUUGGCUAGCUCUAGGUAGGGAGAUAUAUGGCCGUGAGCUAGCCAUGGAAGCAUAAGAAUAGUAAGUUUUCUUUGGUCAGAGUAAACCAUAUUUUGUUUUCCUUUCACUCUUUUGCUUGAGGUUGCUCGAUUAUAGGCUUAUUGGUAGUUUUUUUGUAGCUAGCUCUAUGCAUAUAUAUAUAUAUAUACACACACAUUCAUGGGAAAAGAGGCUUGGGGAUGGGAAAUCAAUUGAUUUCCUAUGUUUGGUAAAGUUCGGGUAUGAGAAAUCGUUGCUUUGCACAUGAGAAAGUAGAGGGGAAAGUGAAGCCCUCCUCCUUCCUUAGGUUUUGUUUUCCUCCUCAUGGGAAAGUUUGGGAAAAUGAGCUAAUAUUAAAUACAUAUUUUUCAUGACCAUAUUAUCCCCAUUAAUAAUUUAGAAUUACAUAAAUGCAUUCUAUUUUUAUUUGAUUUCAUAUGGGUAUAAUUGAAAAAUUAAACAAAUUUUGUUUUACAUUCCUACACAAACCAAACAUGUGAAAGGAAAUAAAGUGGUAUUUCUUGGUUACUUUCCCAAGAUUACCAAACAUAGGAAAGGAAUCUCUAUUUCCCAUCCCUUAGAAAAUGACUUGGAAAGUAAUUUCUCCUCAAAUUCGUUCCGUGAACCAAACGGAACCUGCAUAAUAGAAGUUCCAAAAAAACACGUGAUGAUUGGAUCAUGCAUAUGUAAGUUCCCGAGUGAUGAUUGGAACAAGUUCCUAAUGAUAAAGACUCGAAACAAGAAUAGUUUAAACUUUCUUCUUUGUUUGGCUUGAUAUAAGACGAAUGCACCAAACAAACCGACUAAUUGCUGGCACAAUAUAAAUUGGGGCUACAAUUACCUAAUAAUUAGGUACUAAGGGCUACAAUUACCUAAUAAUAUCAACUUUCAUUAUACAGAUUUGAGAAACAAAAAGUUCAACUUUGAUGACAAGCGAUAUUAAAGGAGGGCGUAAUCAAACUUAGGAUCUUGAGUGUAGAAAUAAAUACUUUUAACAACUUGAGCUACAAGCCUUUUGUAAUAUUAAUGAUAUUUUAAUUAUACGUUUGAAUAGUUCGCUUCCUUCUCUUUUAUUUUCAUUUGUUUAUAUUUAACUCUAAUUUUAUUUAUAUUUUUGGUCAAGGUAAAAAGACUUUGAAUCUCUCUCCAAUGAUUUUCACAGCCGAAACUCCUUUAGUUUCCACAAAUAUUUUUUAAUAUUUCAUGCAUUUGUAAGUUUCCGACUCGGAUGGUUCAUGUAACCAAGAAGUUUAAACUUGUUUUUGCUUGUUCCGCCGACGAAAGCGCAACAAAAGGACAAACUACAACCAAUACUUCUAGUAUCACCAGUUCUCAUUGAAUUUGUUGCCGUGAAUGUUUAGGAUUCUGCCCAAACUAGUAUUUGCGUUUCUGAAUUGUUUGAAAACACAUAUGAAAUUAUGAUUUCUCCUCCCCAGAAGACAAAUUGACGAAGAAGUAUCAUGAUUUUGAUGACACAAAUUAGAAUCCAGGGUUUUCGAAGUGCCUAAUGGACAACUAUUAAUUUAGAAAUAUAUAUAUUUUUUUCGCAAUGCAGAAACACAUAAAUCCCAAGUUUGAAUUCAUCCUAUUUUUGUUUUUGUUUUUUCCUUUUUUAACCCAGAAGAAAAAUUGAGUGCCACUCUGCUAUGUAGAAUGCAAGUUUUAGUUUAGAUUUUUUUUUCUUUUUAGUCUCUUAUUCUACAUUUAGAUCUCAUAUAUUUACUCGCAUUUUAUUAAAUCUAAGUCAUUCAAACAAUCUGACCACUUAACAAAUUACAAGUACUCAAACUUAAAAUCAGAUUGGAUGGACAUGAGGCUUACACUGAUGAUUCUACACGUGCUGAGAAUAGUCCUUUUAUUUCUUUAUUAUUUUCUUGGUCGGGACUCGAGAGACAGGUGUAGUGUAGCGAUGGAGACGAGGCCCGCAAGACAUAAAAGUCUGAAGAAGAGAAGCGUGAAAGCUUCAUUUAGACAGUUAAGUGCAUACGUAACGUAAAGAUUCAAAGACUAUGUCCCUCUCCAAACAGGGAAAGAUCUGAGUUGAAAGCAACAAACUACAGUCACAAUAGGAAAGCAUCUACAACGUAAAGAAAAUAAGUUUACCAGAAGCAUCGGAAAGAUCUAGAGUCUGAAGAAGAGAUACUGAAGUAAUUGUUCAUCGACUGAGCUUAAAUGAAAUAUUAACUCUUUGUUGUGCCAUAAGCACAAGAUCUUAAGAAAAAAAUUCAAGAUAAACCAUAUAAUAUUUUCUAACCCACAAAAUAAUAUAGAAAAUAAAUGCAAGAACAAGAGAAUAGCAAGACACAACGAGGCUGCUUACAAUCAGUGUAAAUGAGCAAACAAAUUCACCAUCAACAAAUUAGCAUGCUUAUGAAGUGUUUUGCAACCUCACAAACCAAGGCGCCAUAUACACCAAAUGACUCUCACUGAAAAACUAAACAAAGAAACACACUCACACUAAUGAAAGCAACGUUACAAGGUAGGAGAUUGAAUAUUACAUUUACAAUACACUCAUAAGUUACAAAAACUAAUUACAAAUAUUUAGCGCAUAGGUUACAUAGAACUGAAAGGGUGGAAUGAUAAGAGCUAUGGUGGUCAUCCACCAACUCAUGCAUUUACAACACCGCCUCUUGAAUGUCCACCAUACAAUACAAUGAUAUAGUUGCGUCAUUAAACACUUUGCUUGAAAAACUAUAUGGGACAAAACUUAGGCUACGGGAAAAAGAGUGCAACACAAAUAAUAUUGAUAUCACAUUUGUCUCUCCUACGGAAUGAGCUUUGGUGAUGUUUGUAUAAAAAUUGCGUACAAACCAUUAUUGGAAGAUUGGGCUAGAGUGGGCUUUACCCUAGUGUUGACUUUGGAAAGAGACAAAUUAGGCUUAGUUGUGUAAAUUCAAUCCAAAAAAAAAUUAAAUAAUAGCCCACAUCUACAGCCAAAUACUUUAAUACUUUAAUUACUAAAGUUUUUUUUUCUUUCUCUCUCUUCUUUGGUUUAUUCAGCUUUUGAUUUGGCUCAAAUAAUGUUUAUAUCUCUCUUUGAUUUUGUUUUUUCAAAUUUAUUGAUGUUGCUUCUUUUGAAAAUUUUGAAAUAUGGACCCUCCCUAACUAAACCACUCCAUUGAGCAAAAGCCCUUGAGCUUCAAAUUUAUCUUCGUCUGAGCCUCUGAAUUUUGGUUUUUUUUAGGUUUUUUUUGUUUGUUGUAGGUUUCUUUGUUCACAUAUCUCUCUAAAAAUAGUAUUUUUCUUAAUGAAUUCUGAAAAUAGUUUUUAAUUUGAAGGAAAUAUACGGAAUUAGUAAAAAAGUAUACCACUUUCAUUAAUCUGAAGGAAAUAUUGCUUUAUAUAUAUUUGUUUAAAAAUAGGGCUUAUAAUUGAUCUCAAAAAAAAAAAAAAAACAAAUAGCCCACCCCUGUAAAUAUUCCUUAGUCCGCCAUUGCAUGGCAUAAUAUUUGGUAUGCUAUGCUAGCAUCUCAUAAGCUCUUCAAGAGACCUGAAUUUUAUGAUAACUUCUUAAAAAAUUUGAAUACAUUUCAACGAUAUUAAACUUGAAUUUGAACUCAUAAUUCAAUCAAAGUACUCAUUGAGGCAAUUUAGAUCAUUUUCAUUUUAAAAAAAUUGGGUGCACACAUUGAGCUUCAUGCUCUUUACCUUCUUAGAGAUUUUAUUUGAGGAAUUUAUAUUGCAUCACAUAUUACAUCUCUUAGGAUUUGUUCUUAUUAUGUAUUCUUUAAGAGAUCUAUUCUUGCAAUAUGCUUCAAACACUUCAUAAUCUUUAUGAAUUUUUCAUGUAGAUUUAAGGUCUCCAUGAAUAUUGAGAUUGAAACAAGGAGUAAAAGAGUUAAAAGUUUAAGAAAUUUUUUCCCUGAUUAUUUUGUAAUUAUAAUGUUGGUGAAAAUCCAAUUUCCUUUCUAGAAUUUGUGAAAUUUGUUAUUUGGCUAAGCUAAAAGUAUAAUUUUGACAAUAAAAAGCAUAUGAAAGUUUCUCUUUGGUUGGCUUCUUGGCUAGCUCUAGGAACGGACAGUGUGGCCAUGAGAUAACCAUGGAAGUAUAAUAAGAAUGCUUGGAUGCUGUGAACAAUCCAUUUUCUGACUCUUUUUCUUGAGGUGGUUGUUUUCUUAUGGCCCAUCAGAGUUUAUGGUCGACAGAUAAGCUUCAAACACAUGCAUUGGUCGUGUCAGUUGCGAUAAACUCUUCCCAACAAUCAACAAUUUCUAAGGUAAUAUCAUCAUUCAAUCAUGUGCUGAAUUUAGAAUUGUUUUCAAAUCAAGGAUUUGUUUUGGAACUCAGAUUUUAAAACAAUUAAAAUUUAAUUGGGAAGACUUUUUGUUUAAAGGAAGUUCGUUUCAAUUCAAAAAAUAAUUUUUCAGUUUUUCAACUCAAAAGUCUUCUCAGUUUUCUUAUUUUUCUUAUUGGCGAGUUUCUUGGUUAACUCUAGGAAGGGAGAUAUGUGGCCAUGAGCUAACCAUGGAAGCAUAAGAACGCUGACCAUGCUUGGAUUUUGAGAAGACUUCCUCUUUUUUUUUUCCCUGACUCUUCUUCUUGAGGCGGUGGUUGGCUUAUGGCCUCAUAAUAGUUUGGUGUUUUUGGAGAUCAUAUGGUGAUGAUCUGAUGGAGAUGAGUCAUAGUUUGUGCUAGUGCAUACGUAAUUCCAAUUUCCUGAUUCAGAUGGGAUAAACUCUUCCAACAAAUUAAGACUCUUAUCAUGCAUACACAUAAGAAGUGGAAAUUUGCUUCUGUCUUAGUUUGGCCUUGAUAUAGGACAGCUCAUAGGAAAGCAUCCAAAACAAUAUUCUUUUUAUUUUUUUUAUUUGAAUACAAGCGAUAUUAGGAGUGUGGGGAUUUGAACACAUGAUUUAGGGUACAGGGUAAUGCUCUUAACUAUAUGAGUUACAAGUCCCUUGCAAACAGUCUGAAAUACUAAAAAUAAAAAAUAGAUGCUCAUCCAUAUGCACUGUCAUGCCCCAACCCUUGGAUUUACAAAACCUUGUGUUAAGACGUGAUUCACACCUUAAUUAUAGAAUUUAAUAAAAACUAUAACUAAAAUGUGAAGAAAACAUUUAAAUAAAUAAAAUAAAUAUUUCACAUAGAAUAUUCAGUGGAAAUGACAACAUGUGAAAUCUUAAAAAUUUUACAUUAUCUUACAAGUUGGCGUGACUUGUGGAUAUUGACUUACUUUCCUUACACACCAAGAAUUCCUAUUAUAAUUGUAAUUGAUUUACUUUAAUUCAUGAUUUCCUACUGUAAAUAGAUUUAAGAAUUUAUUAUUUACUUGCCCAUUCAGGUUUCGUUGUAUUAUAAAUAUGACCUCCUACAAGGAGAAGAACAUACAGAAAAUUCCCACAAACAAAUAUUCUCUCAUAGUUUUCAUAUUUUAGCAUGGUAUCAGAGCGGCAAUCUUGGAAUUGCUGACUCUAGUUUCAAACCCCCGCCGCCGCUAUGGGGGUUGAUGAUUUUUUCAACCAUCAUGGAGGUAGCACCAUCGACUCCUUCUCUCAUUCUCAACUAACCAUCGUUGAGUUGAGUGCCCAGAUGGCUCCGCUCCUACAGAUGCAGACUUUGACCCCAAACCCGAUCCAGAAUCAGGAUCUUCUUUCGACAACCACGACCCCGAUCUCGACUAUGACAACGACGACCCCGACCCCUACUCUGAAGAUGACCCCGACCCCCACUCCGAUGACCCCAACCCCGAAUUUGUCUCUGAUUCAGAACCCGAUCCCGAUUUCGACUCCGACUCCGGCCUCGACUCAGGCUCAGAUUUCGAUCCAAAUUCCUACUCAACUUAUAUCCUAUGCAUCUUCCGCUGCACAGAUUAUGACUUCUAGACUAACGACCCCGACAUAUGGACCAGAUUGCACAUAUUGUGGUGAUCCGAGACACACUUGUGAGACUUGUUUUAAAUCGCAUGGCUACCCCGAUUGGUGGGCUAUUCUUACAGAUCAAGGACAAUGCACCAGUAAUGGUACUGGUUAUGGAUUCCAUACUUCCGAUAAGAUUGAUUCCAGGAGCUGGAUAAUUGAUUCUGGUGCAACUGAUCAUAUGACGUUUGAUCCUGAUGAUUUUCUGAAUACUACACAACCUCGACGAACUUGUAUUGCAAAUGCCAAUGGUGUUACUUAUCCUGUGACAGGGGCUGGCACUGUUGCACUCUCAUCCUCUCUCACACUGUCUAAUACUUUACUUGUUCCAUUUUUAUCCACUAAAUUGUUGUUAGUUAGUCAGCUUACUAAACAAUUGAAGUGUUGUGUACUCAUUUACCUGAGUUUUUGUUUGCUUCAGGAUAUUCACACUAAGGAGAUUCUUGGUCGUGGUACUAAGAGAGGGGGGCUAUAUUAUGUCGAUGACUUCAGUUCCGGCGUGCCUAACAGUGUGACACAUCCCUUUGAUAGCAAACAAAAGCAAAUUUGGUUGUGGCACCUUCGAUUGGGACAUCCGUCUUUCAGUUAUAUGAAGCAUCUUAUACCAGAUUUAUUCUUAGGUUUCAAGGACUCCGACUUCACAUGUGAUACUUGUAUUUUGGCUAACAGUCACCGUGUGCCCUACCUGUUGAGUACGAACAAGUGUACUUGUAAGAUCCCACAUCAACCAACGGAGAGGGGGUGAUGUGCCUUAUAUAUGCACACCUGCAUCCAUCUAGCACGAGGCCUUUUGGGAGCUCACUGGCUUCGGAGUCGUAGGAACUCCGAAGUUAAGCGAGUUGGGGGCUAGAGCAAUCCCAGGAUGGGUGAUCCACUGGGAAGUUGCUCGUGAGCUCCUAGAAACAAAACCGUGAGGGCAGAGAGAGGGGCCCAAAGCGGACAAUAUCGUGCUACGGCGGAGUUGAUCCCGAGAUGUGACAAUUUGGUAUCAGAGCCACUCUGCCGUGUGGUGCGAAUGUGCCGACGAGGACUUCGGGCCCUUAAGGGGGGUGGAUUGUAAGAUCCCACAUCAACCAACGGAGAGGGGGUGAUGUGCCUUAUAUAUGCACACCUGCAUCCAUCUAGCAUGAGACCUUUUGGGAGCUCACUGGCUUCGGAGUUGUAGGAACUCCGACGUUAAGCGAGUUGGGGGCUAGAGCAAUCCCAGGAUGGGUGACCCACUGGGAAGUUGCUCGUGAGUUCCCAGAAACAAAACCGUGAGGGCCAGAGAGGGGGGCCCAAAGCUGAUAAUAUCGUGCUACGGCGGAGCCGAUCCCGGGAUGUGACAAUUGUACUACUCCAUUUACGUUAAUUCACUCUGAUGUCUUGGGACCUUCGCCUAUCACUGCUCCUUCUGGUGUUCGAUGGUUUGUCACAUUCAUCGAUGAUUGUAUACAGAUGACAUGGCUUUAUUUGCUGAAGAAUAAAAACGAAGUGUUUUCCCGUUUUCAGUCCUUCCACAAACAGAUGAAAACUCAGUUUAAUGCUCAAAUCCAGAUUCUUCGCUCAGACAAUGGUGGAGAAUUUGUCAAUCAUGACUUUCAGACUUACUUCCAACAACAUGGAAUUAUCCAUGAGACGACUUGUCCUCAGACACCACAACAAAAUUGUGUUGUUGAACGAAAGAAUUGACAUCUUCUUGAAACCGCCCAAGCACUUCUGAUUGGCGCUCAUGUUCCUCGCUAUCACUGGGAUGAUGCUAUUGUCACCGCAGUUCACCUGAUCAACCGCAUGCCUUCUGGUGUAUUGACCUUUAAAACUCCCUUACAGGUGCUUGCGCAACACAGACCUCUGCUCUCUGUUUUGGUACUCACACCCCGAAUCUUUGGAUGUGUGGCUUUCGUUCAUCUCCACAAAAAUCAACGUAGCAAACUUGAUCCCUGUGCGCUUCGUUGUGUUUUUAUAGGUUAUGCCACUCAUCAGAAAGGCUACCGUUGUUAUCACCCUCCUACCCAACGAACCUAUGUCACUUUGGAUGUGACCUUUCUGGAAUCUGAGUUGUUCUUCCAUGACCCAUCAUCCAAUUCUACGCAUCAGGGGGGGAUACGAAGUGAAGAGCAGAAUUGAAGCAACUUGGGAAAUAAAGAAAUUUUCCUCUGUACAGAAAUGAUUAAUCAUCCUGAGUCUGGAGCACGAGAUUACUCUCUGUCGAAAAGCAACCAAUCGCCCAUUCAUAGCGAUCAAUUGCCUCACCUACCUGAUCCAUGUGAAGAUAUUUUUGAUCCGAGUCUCACACCUACAGACAAUACAGAACAACAAGAUGAAGACUCCCCCUCUAACUCAACAGUACCAACAGACCAAUCUCCUGAGAAUAUCCUUGAGGUAACUACUCCUACUAGAUUUGUGCAUUUAAAUGAUUAAACUAUUGGAUAUCAAUUACCUUUCAGGGAAAAUCGUGGGAAGCCAUCAAACCGUUAUGCACCUGAUAUUGGCAAGACAUCCAAGUAUCCAAUUGCAAAUCAUGUAUCCACUGAGAAGCUGUCUGAACAACUCAAGGCUUUUGUGCAUCAGUUGUCUGCGAUCCAUAUUCCAACCAAGGUCUCUGAAGCAUUAAAAUAUCCUAAGUGGGUCCAAGCUAUAAAAGAGGAGAUGAAAGCUCUUGAGAAAAAUCAGACUUGGACAUUAGAGACUAUACCUCGAGGAAAAAAGACUAUCAGAUGUAGAUGGGUGUUUACUAUAAAACACAAUGUAGAUGGAUCUAUCGAGCAAUACAAGGCAAGACUUGUGGAAAAAGGGUACACACAGACAUAUGGUAUAGACUAUGAAGAAACCUUUGCUCCAGUUGCAAAGUCAAACACCAUCAGAGUCUUAUUGUCCCUUGCAGCUAAUUUGGAUUGGCCACUACACCAGUUUGAUGUAAAGAAUGCUUUUCUACAUGGCGUACUCACGGAGGAGGUGUACAUUUACAUUCCUCCUGGAUAUAAUACUACUUAGACUGGAACAGUUUGCAGGUUACGAAAAGCAUUGUAUGGAUUGAAACAGUCACCACGUGCAUGGUUUGGACAGUUCACCAUGGCAAUGAAGAACAAUGGUUCAAACAGUGCAACUCAGAUCAUACUCUACUCUUGAAACAUCGAAAAGGGAAGGUAACAACAUUAAUAAUCUAUGUUGAUGAUAUGAUUAUUACUGGGAAUGAUAAACAGGAAAUAUCACAGCUACAAGACUAUCUGGCUACGGAGUUUGAGAUGAUGGAUCUAGGUGGACUCAAGUAUUUCUUGGGAAUUGAGGUGGCUCGAUCCCAGCAAGGCAUAUUUCUCUCUCAAAGGAAAUAUGUCUUGGACUUGUUGACAGACACAUGAAUGCUAGAUUGUAAACCUGCGAACACUCAUAUUGUUCAGAAUCAUCAUCUUGGAGAAUAUCAUGAUCAAGUUCCAACUAACAAAGAAAGAUACCAAAGGUUAGUAGGAAGAUUGAUCUAUUUGUCACAUACUUGACCAAACAUUACUUAUGCAAUGAGCGUUGUCAGUCAAUUUAUGCACUCUCCAAGUGAAGACCACACGAAUGCAGUUCUUCGGAUACUUAGAUAUUUGAAGUCUGCACCUGAAAAAGGACUUAUUUUCUGAAAGCAUGGUCAUAUAAAUAUUGAUGGUUAUUCAGAUGUAAUGUAACAGAUAGAAAAUCCACAUCCGGUUACUUAACAUUCAUGGGAGGUAAUUUGGUGACAUGGAGGAGCAAGAAACAGAAUGUAGUAGCUUUAUCCAGUGCAGAAGCCGAGUUCAGAGGCAUGACUAAAGGAAUUUGUGAACUUCUUUGGUUAAGAAAGUUGCUUACUGAACUUGGGUAUAAACCUACAUCCACAAUGAUUCUCUUUUGUGACAACAAGGCUGUUAUAGCCAUUGCACAGAAUCCGGUUCAGCAUGAUCGUACUAAACAUGUUGAGGAGGAUCGACACUUCAUCAAACAGAAGCUUGAGGCUAAAAUGUUUCAGUUUUCUUUUGUGAAAUCCGAGGAUCAAUUGGCGGAUAUUUUGACAAAGGUGAUUUCCAGUAAAACAUUCCACAAUUCACUGGAUCAGUUAGGCAUUGGCGAUAUCUAUGCACCAACGUGAGGGGAAGUGUUGGCGUGACUUGUGGAUAUUGACUUACUUUCCUUACACACCAAGAAUUCCUAUUAUAAUUGUAAUUGAUUUACUUUAAUUCCUGAUUUCCUAUUGUAAAUAGAUUUAGGAAUUUAUUAUUUACUUGCCCAUUCAGGUUUCGUUGUAUUAUAAAUAUGACCUCCUACAAGGAGAAUAACAUACAGAAAAUUCCCACAAACAAAUAUUCUCUUAUAGUUUUCAUAUUUUAGCAAGAACUACUCGAGAGUUUACUAAAAGAGUAGUUCAGUAUUCAUCCACAAGCUAUAUACACAAUACACUCUAUAGAUAUGCCAAAAUCAUCGCAAGCUCUAGAUUUUAGGUUCGAUACCUGCAAAAUCUAUUAGAAGGGUGAGUGAAACCACAGUUUAGUAGGGACAUAAACCUUUUCACGGUAAACUGAUAUAAUUAAAUUAAGUGAAAAAUAAUCACACAGCCAAAUAUCACAUUAUUAAUAACAAUGCAUGAAUGCUCUUCAUUUAACCCGUUAAUUCAUAUAAUUAGACAAGCUUCACGACCCAUACCAUGCUUAUACCACUUAGUCCCGAAUGCCAAUUUAUAUGAAUUAACGCCCAUUUCAAUCAUCCCAUAAUUCCCAUUUUGUUAGUCAUCUUGUCUAACUCCCUGUUGCCAGUCCUGAAUCACCAAAAAAAAAAAACCAUGUGCACUAUGGGAUCCCUGAGUACUAGUACCUGGCAAGAGUUAGACUCAACUACACAAAAGAUCAUUUCUAUUACCCUCUUAUCCACCAUUAUUUUCUCAACUUCAGAAUUCUAGCCAAAUUCCAUGACAUGAUAUAAUUAAAAUUAUGCCUUCACAACAAUGUGCCCAUUUAAAACAUCACUAAUGCACAUAUAAUUAUGCCCACAUUGUUCAAAUAGUUAAGAGUACGUAAAUACCCAAUACAUGGAACGUCAAUCAAACAGUACCACGCAUAAUAUAAUGCUCAAGAAAUUUAAUUAAAUCAAUCUCUGUAAAAGGCCCCUAAGAAACCCCUGCCUUGAUACUAAAGCUUUUGCUAGACCUAUAAGGUGUUUUCCAAUUUUCCACCGCAUUCACAAACUCUGUCUUCUACUUUUUUUCUUACUUCUCUCUACCACUAUUUCUUUCUCGUUUUCUUUGUUUUCACUUGUUGUGCAACUUAAUGUCCUAUAUAUAUACAAGGAACAAGUCGGCAGUAAGUGAUUUCCUAUUGGAUGGUGUAUUCGGUUGUUAUAAACUUACUAGUAAUAGUUAUCAAUGUAGUUGCAGAUGAGGAAGAAUGUUUUUGUGACUCUUCCAAUCCCUCUAAUCCUAUUUCUUAUCUUCUUGGUGAGUUGAUAGCCUCGAUACUUAACAGAUUUUAUACUUUGACACGUAUUAACAAGAACUAUUUUAAAAACAUAUACAUAUAUAUAUAUAUAAUAGAAUAUGUAUAUAUGUAAUACACAUAUUUAUAUAUAAUAAGAAUAAUAUAUAUGUAAUAAGAUAUAAAUAUUUAUUAGAACAGUAUAUAAAAUAAUAUAUAUCAUUCUUAUUAUAACAAUAAUUUUAAUUUUCCCAAAAUAAUAUAUAUUUAAAAAUAUGUGGUUUCACAUGCAUGUCCUUUUUGCUAUAGACACUAUUACAAAAAUCGAAAUAGACAACGGAAAACUACCGUCGUCUGGAAAGUUUUCAAACAGUCGUGAAAUCGACUGUCGUCUCUUUUACAUAAAACAACGACGGCUAUUAACCAACGUCGUUAAUACAUUCCACGUAAAAAACUAUUAUAAACCGACGUGUAAUUACUAUAUAUAUAGCCUAAAAUAAAAUCUUCAACAACCUUAGACGACGGUUUUAUUAAAACUGACACGUCUAAAGAGUGUUACAUGUCAAGAUCAAAACAAGAACCGACGUACAGAUAAUUAUCCACGUCCUAAUUGAAGUAAAAUAGACUUGGAUAACCUAGAAACCGUCGUGGUUAACAUAUACUACGUUAAAUUAACAAAGGCACUUACGUCUAAAAAGUAAAAGACAACACGCGCACAAAGCAACAGACGUUUAAAGCUUAGUACAUGUCAAUAGCCGCUCAAUAACCGCAGUAAAAUGAAUUAACCACGUCCCACAUAUGGCAGAACUGUUGCUUAUGUGAUUAUCCACGUCGCGGAGUAGUAGAACAAAGACGUUGUAACCAUAUUCCACGUCUGUUUCUUGUGAGAAUUGUCGUUUAAAUUAUACAAAGAAGCCCCUUUGACAGAGUUAGACGUUGCUCUUGCUGUAGAACCGACUUCUAACAGGUUUAAAAUGACACAAUAUUACUUAAUACUGCCGUAACAAAUCAUAUCCACGACUGCUGUUGUCAAAGACUGACGUUACAAAAAAUAUUGAAGGUGUUGACAAAAAAGAACCGACAUGGAUUAUGCAUUCAACGUCGUGUGGUCUAAAAAUAAAGGACGUGGUUAAUUUUUUCUCUACGUCAAGUGGAUCCAAUUGCCUGAUGUUGUAAUUCUUUACCAUGUUGGUUUUUAAUACAUGAUGAUGUGGUUGUCCUUUUAAAAGUCGCUUGUUUUACCCUCCUUGACGUGUGUAUGAUAUGAGACGUCAAUUGUUUUAGACUAGCUGACGUGCAGAAAAUCUGUCACGACAAUUAAUGCAACUGAAUUGCCUCUAUUUCCCCCAGACGACGGUAGGUUUUAAGUGUGGAAGUAGUGUUUUACAAAAUCGUAAGUUGGAGUAAUCUACCAUCGUGUUAUUCGAGAAUAUACCACGAUCUUUGUUUUGUACUCGGUCGCUGAUGUUUAUACUACUUAAUAAACUGACAUGUUUUCAGUUUCAGACGGCGGCUUUUGUUUCUUUAUGGUCUUUUGCAUUUUUUUUCCAUGACAUUUUUGAAAGCCUAAUGUUGGUUUUAUUUUAGAAAUCGAUUUUUCCCCUUUUUUUACUGGACCGUCGUACUUUACACAUUUAAUCAAUUUUUUUCAAUUUUUGAUUCAUCGUGCCCAAAGCCUACAUAACGAAAAUGUGAUCAGAAUUAAAAUGAUGUACAAAGGUAUUAAUUAAUGUCAUACAAUUAACUGAAUAACUAAUGUCAUACACUACAACAAUCAAUCAAUCCAUAUAUCUUCACACCCAUCUUUAAUAUUUUCACUCCCAAACUCACCCACUAGGUCAUCAUAUGUGUCAACAUUUGGUAUCCCUCUAGUAAAUGUCUCACACUCAAUUCUAAUAUCACCUAGCACAUCAUCACCAAUAACAUUAUUAUAUUCUCUAUUAUGCAUUGAUAACACUACCGACCAACCACGAUGCAUUGGGUCGUCAGCAUAAAAUACUUGUUUUGGUCAUUCCUAUGUCCAAUUUUACUCAAAUCUACAAAGGUGAAUCCAAGUUCAUCGACAACAAGGCCCAAAGUGUUAUCUAUCCAAUCACACCUCAAGACAAGGAUUCUAAACUUUUGGUAGUCAAGGUCCCAAAUUUCUUGAAUAACACCAUAAAAACCCAUAUUGGAGACAAUAGAGUUUUUAUCCUUAGCACUAGCAACUUGCAUAGUAUGUGCAAGUAAAUAAACUCCACUAUUUUGGACAGUUCGCAUAUCAUCUUGUGCCUUGGUGUUAAAUUUAACACCAUUAAUAAGAUAGCUCCUAUAUGAUGGCAUUGCCAUGCUUGGACUAGCUGCUAGCCACCUCAAAUUUUAUGAUACGCCAUUAUGCUCUUCCCCAUUAAGUUCACUUUGAACUUGCAAAUUAAUCGUAUAUAUCCUAAUUCGAUCUAACAUAUAAAAAGGAAGAAAAUUAAAAGUUGAAUAUGUCAUUCAAUAACAUAUAUACUUGAAAGUGUAGCCAUUGAAUGAAAGUGCUAUUGUGCUUAUCUUGCAGCCACUUUGUUCUCUUUCUAAAUAUUGGAUAAGUGGUCUUGAUGUGGAUCAUAUGUUCCAUACAUUGACACGAAAAAAUCAAGCAUUACGGUCCCUUGUAUAUAAGAUAACAUAAGGAAUAAUAAUAUUUAAAAUGGCUCUAUAUGAAAAAUGGAACUCAUGCGUACUCGAUAUAAGGUAGGACUUCCUCAGUAUUCUCCAAGACAUAUAGAUGUGUCUGGUUCAAAAAACCCGAUCACCUAAGCUUACUGUGCAACCAGAUAAUGGCUUUGAAACUCCCAUCUUCUAGCUUGAAGGCACUCCAACUGUACUAACAUCAGAUAAAUGCUCGGUGCAAAACUCUACAACUUCUUCAGCUAUAUACCGCUCAAUAAUGCAACAUCCGGGACGAGUACGGUUCUGAACAAACCUAUUUAGCACUUUCAUAUGUCUUUCAAAUGGAUACAUCCAUCUAAAAUAUACUGGCCCAUGUAGACGAACUUCUCUGACAAGAUGUACUACUAGAUGAACCAUGAUAUCAAAGAAUGAAGGGGGAAAGUACUUCUCAAGCAAACGCAACGUAACUACUACAUCUUCUUCCAAAUUAUCUAGCUUGGAAACAUCUACUGUCUUUGCACAUAUAGCAUUGAAGAAGAAGCACAAUCGAGUUAUUGCAUACCUUGCAGGCUUCUCCAAACAGAACGAAUUGCCACAGGGAGCAAUUGUUGCAUCAAGGCAUGAAAAUUAUGAGAUUUAAGGCCAAGAAGUCUUGAAUAUUUUUAAGAUACAAGAUUUUUUUAUAUUUGAACAAUAACCUUCAGGGACUUUCAUACCAUAGAAAGAAUUGCAAACCGCUCUCUUAUCUGCUCUUGACAAAUUCUAGGGCCUUGGAGGCAAGCGAGUACGUCUUUCUCAAUACUCGGGUUGCAAAUCAUUUUUGACCCCCAUGUUCAAUAAAUCUAACCGAACAGCAAUCUCAUCUUUAUUUUUUCUAGGGAUCUCCAGCAAUGUACCAAUGAUACUAUCGCAAACAUUCUUCUCAAUAUGCAUAACAUCUUGGACAUGCCUCAUAGGAAGGUAUUUCAAAUACUCGAGAUCAAAGAAUUUUGAUUUCUUAUUCCAACAAACUCUGUCACCAUCAUUCUCAAAAACACUUCCCCCAUUUUUCGAGCCCCAUAUGUAAUUAAUAUCUUCAACCAUGUCCUAUUCAAGUUAAUGGUUCGGGAGGCGUGCCAUAUUCAAGUUUUCCAUUGAAAGCUGCACGCUACCUCCGACAUGGAUGAUUGAUUGGUAACCAUUUUUUAUGACCAAUGUAACAAAUUUUGGGGCCAUUUUCAACCUGUGACUAGGUGUAUCAUCGCCGCAUAUUGGACAAGCUUUAUAUCCUUUAACGACACUGUAACACCCCGACUCUAAAUUAAUCCCUUAUUUAAUUAUUUAAAGAAAAUUACAAAUUUACCCUUAAGAUAGGGGUAUUUUGGUCAUUUUCUUACCCGAAGAGAGUUUGGGGCAGUGACUAGUAUUUUUGGAUAGGUCGUACUGAGACGAGUUCAUAGACACGUAGUGGGCUCGAAUCGAAGUUGUAACGAGAGAGAUAUGGUCAAAAGAAACCCAAUUGCACAAUCAUAAUUAUUUCGAAAUGAGAUUUUUAUAAAAAUCAGAUUUUUUUUUCUCUCUCUCUCUCUCUCCUCGUCGGUCUCUCUCCCUCUCCUCGAAACUCCGGCCAUCGGCCACGGCUGUGGACGGGGCCGGUACCAAAAUGACCGAGGCGUUGUCCUCCUCUAAUCCCAGCUAGGUCCCGCCGUCAGCCGCCAUGGUUUCGCCGGAAAAUGGAGAAGAAGCGGCCGGCGUCGUCCGAAGUUCUCCGCCGUUGAUCUCCCUCUUCCGGUCACCGAUUCCGACGAGUGAGGUAUGGUUUCUCACCUACUUUUCAUGCUCUAGCUGCCUGCUGGGUAUGAUUGGAUUGAUUUUUAGCGUAGGCAAUUCGAUUUUCGCAUUGAAAUUCGGCUAAUUUUGGAAUCACGAUUCCGGCUAGUUCUGGUCAGUUUUUGGGGUAGAUCCAAGAACAAAAGUGGCUCCAAAUAGGGUGUUAUACCUAGGGUAGGAGUUUGGAGCCAUGGUUUUGAGAUUUUCCGGCGAUACGUAAUCGCUUUAGACACCCAACGCUGCCCGCACGUGUGGCAGUGCGUGGGCGAGGGUAGUGAAAUAGCACUAUGUCUCGAUGAGAUCCUUAGGUUGUCACGAGUGCGUAGGAUUUCGCGGAUCUCAAUUCGGACGUCGUUUGACUAUCGAACGGAUUUUCGUAUAUUGCGCGUCAUCCGGGUUCGAUAGGUUGGGACCGUUGGAUGGUCUCGAAUAAAAUAUAUGUUAAUCUAGGUAUUUCUAGGAUCAUGUAGGAAUUCACGGAUUAUAAAUCGGAGCCCCGGAUAUUCCGAAUAAAUAAUUUAAAGUUUAUGUUUUAUAAUAACCGUCACAUCGUGCGAUCGUGAGCGAUCCGACCGGCCGAUCUGGACCAAACUUACAGAACGAGUGUCCUAUACCUUGAAGAACCCAUAGGAAUUUUCAGAUCGAAAUUUGGAGGUCGUGGGCCCCGUGGGCCCAUUUGACUAGGGGUAGGGUAGUUUGACCCUUAGUUGACCGUGAGUCUCCCGGAGUAAUCUCACCUUUCCAGGGGGAUUAUCGGGUGCUAGACUGUUGUUGAGGUUUACACGAUAUUAGUAGUAAAUUAUAUAUUUAUAUACAUUUGUAAAGGUAAAAAAUAAGUCCAGAAUGUCAGUUUGAAGUGCUUUACGCACUACCUUAGGUACCUCCCCGGAUUUUAGUUACACUACAAGUACCACCCUAUGAAAGUUAGGUCCCACGUGGCGUAGGUUAUCCGGCGUGCGGACAGGCCCUAUACGUGGCAUUGGUAGUAUCGGUGUAUGGGGAGAUUACGUGAUAAUAUGUUGAGGUCACACGUGGCGUAGGUUAUCCGGCGUGUUGACAGACCCCAUACGUGGCGUUGGUUGUACCGGCGUAUGAGGAGAUAUUGUGAUAUGAUAUUCAGGUCUCGCGUGGCGUAGGUUAUCCAGCGUUGAGACAGACCCCAUACGUGGCGUUGGUUCUACCGGCGUAUAAGGAGUUUAUGUGAUAUUAUGUUGAAGUCGCGCGUGGCGUAGGUUAUCCGGUGUGUCGACAGACCCCAUACGUGGUGUUGGUUGUACCGGCGUAUGGGGAGAUAUGUGAUAUGAUGUGCAGGUCUCGCGUGGCGUAGGUUAUCCGGCGUUGAGACAGACCCCAUAUGUGGCGUUAGUUGUACCGGCGUAUGGGAAGAUAUUGUGAUAUGAUAUUCAGGUCUCGGGUGGCGUAGGUUAUCCGGCGUGUUGACAGGCCCCAUACGUGGCGUUGGUAGUACCGGUAUAUGGGGAGAUUAUGUGAAAUACAGAGAAAUGAAAUAAGGUAUUGCCUAUGUGUGGAAUUGGGUUUUAAGGAAGAACUACGUGUGGCUUGAUCCCUCAGGGAGGGUACGUAGGCAGCCUAAGGUUAUUAGGUGUAGCCGCGGACAUAGACGUGAUUGUGUUAGGAGGUUAAAACCUCGUAUGUUGAAAUUGAGAAAAUUAGAUGAUGUAUGUUGAAAUUUAGUAGUCGUAAUUUAUAUUUAAAUUUAUCGUUUGCCUUGUUUAAGGCAUGAAUUGAUUUGCUAGCAUGCUUGGUAGUUGAGAAUUAUAGAAAGGCCGAAGGCCGUUUAUGUGAAUUGCAUGGAAUUAUAUUGUGCAUGCUGCCAGUUGUAGUUAUUAAAUGUGUUUUUAUGCAGGUUGAAAUUUUGGGAAAUGUCCAAUUUACAGGGGAGACUCUGCCGAAAUUUCGGCAGAAAGUCUCGGUCUUUAGUAAGUGGGCCUGACAUCGAGGUGAUGUCGGGGAAUCCACAGGAUCCGCCUCGAUUUUUGGAAAAAUCGGGGCGGUUCCUUUCAGACACAACCAGAUAAGUUCUCAUAGGCAGAAAAAUCAUUAAUUGUUCACAGUAAUACACCUAUGAGUGUAAAGUAAUCUCCUAUGUGUGCAUCAUACACUCCUUUAAUCCCAUCCCACAAAGAUUUUAAAUCAUCAAUCAGAGGCUCUAAGUAGACAUCUAUAUCAUUUCCAUUCUAUUUAGGACCAGAAAUCAAUAAGGUCAAUAUCAUGAACUUCCAUUUCAUGCAUAGCCAUGGUGGGAGAUUAUAUGUAACUAAGAUAACCAACAAUUGUAUCUGCUACUUAAAGAACUGUGGGGAUUGAAUCCAUCAGAUGAGAGAGCCAAUCUCAAGUUUCUUGGCUCUUUACUGAACUCGGGCCAUUUAUCAUCAACAAGUUUUUAAGACGGGAAAUUCGCUGGAUGAGACAUAUGACCGUCAAUUGCUUUUCUAGCAACAUGCCAAGUCAAACUCUUAGCUGUCAUAUGUGAUUGAAACAUCCUUUUAAACCUUGGAAUUGGAGGAAAAUACCACACCACCUUCGCUGGCACACUCUUUUUCAAGAUUGAAUCUUUGCAUUCCUUCCACCUUGAGAUACCACAAGUAGGACAAUUAGUUGAAUCUUCAUAAUCAUUCCUAUACAAGAUGCAGUCAUUGGGACAUGCAUGGAUAUUCUCAUAACUCAUCCCUAAAGGAGAUAAUGUCUUUUUUGCCUCGUACAUAGAGGAAUAUAGUGUCUUUCCUUCUGGAAGCAAAUCUCCUUGAAGUAUCAAUAAUUCUAUAAAACAAACAUCACUCAUCCCAUGUUUUGCUUUCAAAUUAUAUAACUUCACCAAAGCCGACAACAUCGUGUACUUACUGCAACCAGGGUACAAGGAUUGAUCUCAAUCCCCAAUCACAUUGGCAAACUCAUAAGGAUCAAAUCCAAUAUCGCCUAAAUCAUUAUCAUCCAUCCCUACUUCUUUAGAAACAAAACUGAACCUACUUUGCUCAUCUUCUUCCACAUUUCUACUAGCAUUAGUAGUCAAUUCCCAAGGUUCUCCGUGCCAUGUGCAAAUCUGAUAGCUUUAGUCAAUUCCAUUAAAGUAUAAGUGGUCCCUCAUAAUUCCAACCCCAAACAAUCGAAUAUUCCCACAUUUAACACAUGGACAACGAAUAUGAGUUGUAUUUCCAAGAUUUUCUACAGCAAAAUUCAAAAAUCCUUCCACCCCUAACUCAUAUGCCUUCGGUCUUCUAUCCGCAUGCAUCCAUGACUUAUCCAUCUCACACACUAUAAAAUCAUAUAUAUAAUAAAGUGAAAAGACCAGCAAUGAAACACUACUUUAUUCACAUAGCAAAGAAUGAAUUGAAAAAAAAAAUUAACCAAGAAUCAGACGACGGUUUUUACAAAAAAAAUCGUCCUGUAACAGAGGGUCAGACGACGGCAUAUCUAGUUAUCGACGUCUUUAAGCUACCCAAACCCAGAUAUUUGUAUUGCUUUUUGAAGAACCGGGUUCUGGGUUCUGGUAAACAAAAGAUGACGGUAAAUGGAGAAACACCGACGUAUCCUAAAACUUGAGACGACGGUUUAUUUCACCAACCGUCGUCGUAGUUUACGAAAAACAGAAGUCUAAAUCUCCCAUCCUCAUUCCUUUUCUAAGAACCCUUAACAAAAUGCAAACAUCAAAAUAUAAAAGAGCCAUAUAUAGCUCCCAAUUAAGAAACCAAAGCUACCAAAACAUAUAUUAAUAAACCAAAGCUACCAAAAUGAACGAAAACAUUUAUGGGUUUUACAAACUAAGAGAAUAUUGAGAGAGAGCUGAGAGAAUAUACUUACAUGGAUAUUGAGAGAGAGCUGAGAGAAUAUAACAAAUGCUUGAGAGAGAGCUUAGAGAAUAUACACAAUGCUUUGAGAGAGAGCGAAAAAUUUAAGACAAAUUUAUGUUGAAGAGAGAGAAGGAAAUAUUUUAGGGUUAAAGGGAAAUUCUGAAAAUUUUAGAUCACCGUCAAAAUUUUCAAAGGACCGCGUUUUUCAAAGACGGCUAAGGAAAACUACCGCCAUUGUAAAUCAUUUUACUACGACGGUUGAGGAAAACUACCGCCAUUGUAAAUCAUUUUUAUGUCGCCUCUAUAAAAACCGACGUCUAAAAUAUUAAAUAAUUAGAUUUGGUUUGCAUUUCGUGGGAUUCUAACGUGCGUAAUUGACCAAAAAGAGCGAGAGAAAACCAGCGUCGUUUCUAUAAAACCUAAACCCUAAACCCUAAACCCUAAACUCUAAAACCUAAACACUGAAAAAAUUAACCAAAAAUUGCUAUGGACUCCUUACAACAAUGCCUUCUAUAUUAGUAGGCUAAAAUCGGGAUUAAAUAAUUUUGAAUUUUAUGACCACCAAUGGAUCACAUAAACCUUAGGGUUAUGUUUAUGGAAAGUAUAAGGAUUAUUGUGUUUUGUCUCUAAAUCUUUUUUACUUUUGUUAUCACUUGUAACUUUGAAAUCUAAAAUUAAAAUUUUCAGGCCUUUAGGGGGGAGAUAUUGUCUCAAUGUGUUUAUAGAAUUUGAGACUGCGAAGGUUCUAGCUGAUUGACUAAGGAUGAGGCAGGAUGGAUGGAAGGUUUGCUUGGAGAUUCUACCUUUGUCAGCUCUUCUGGUUGACAUGUUGUUUAUUCUGCCUGAGGAACUACUUCUAGAUUUUUCCCUUUUCUAGCAGAACUAGUCUCUGGAAGUACUUGUGUGUCAUCCUUAUUCUUGAGGAAGACGCAGUAUUGCCUUUGAACUCUCCUCUUUUGCAUUCUGGUUAGCUUCAGAGUUGGUCUUCGGCUUUUUCCAAUAGAAUAUCAUCUACCUUCUAUGAUAGUUGCAAAGGGCUUGUCAUUUCCAGGCAUCUUAACUGGUAUUUCCUUCUUUGGCUGCUCUAUUAUUCUCUUGUUGCGUUGGGCAGGCCUUAAAUAGUCCUUCUGUCUGGCUCUAUCUCUAGGUGGAGCCGGAACUAGGCCUUGUUGGUAUGAUGUUCCAAUCCUGUCAAAAACACAAGGUGUGGGCUGACUUUGCCUAACCAGAGUUACCUCUAACUCACUUUCACAUUUGCACCUGUUGCACAAAACUACCCCAGCCGAAAUGGUUGCUUUUGGUCUUCAAUUAGCCUAUCUUUGGACUCUUCUGCCUAUGCUGGGGCUAACUUUUGCUGUUAGUUUGCCUUUCUUUUGUUUUGGCCAAUUUAAGUUGACCAUGUUGACUUGAGGUUGGGGAAAAGGGUCUGUUGUUAUCGAAUGAGGUUUCUCAGCCAGUUUUAGCCUCCAUGCUGUUAUUCCUUCCUGUAUGACGUCCCUGAAAACAACACAACUAUUGGUGGAAUGGUCCCAGGAGUUAUGCCAUCUGCAAUACUGUCUGCCCUUGAGUUCCUCUAGCUUGGGCAACUUGUAGGGUGUUUCUAUUGCCUUCUGUCGCAGCAUGUCAUCAAACAGGGCAUCAACCUUGGUUAAAUCGAGGGAAUAGACUUUGUUAUGAGCUGGUUUGUUUGGAACAAACCCUCUUGUGAAUGGUGGUGGCUUUUGGUCCUUUGGUGGCUUUGUUAAAGCCUUGCAACUGAUGAGAUGUUUUAAUUUCCCCAUUUCUGCCACUGCAACUUCUCUCUCCUCCGAGCUUUCUAUGCCUUCUUCUGAUUCUACCUCAACAAGAUUUACUGAAGAGGAUGGGGUUUUGUAAUAUGUGCCUUUGAAAGAGUUCCUCUUCUAUUGUUCUUCCCUGAGCAGCUCCUUGUAUUUAGAUGCUUUGUCUGCUAGUUCUGCCAGAUCUCCAAACAGCAUCCCAUCAAAUUUUUUUCUCAGAGAGAUUUUAAGGGAGAUUUGAGCCAUUUGGAUGAAGUGCCCUUCCUCCAUAGGGAUUCAAAAUUUCAUUUUGAGCUUUUUGAACCUGGUUAUGAAGUCUUGGGCAGGCUCAUCUUCCCUCUAUUUCCAGGUUUGAGGGCAGCAAGAUCACUGAUGGUGACUUCUGGCUGAAUCCUAAAAUAGUAGUCAUGGAAGACAUUUUCCAUCUAUUUCCAGGUUUGAACAGAAUUGGCUGGUAAGCUAGUAUAUUAGAUGAAGGCUUGUCCAGAGAGAGAAUUUCGAAAAAGCCUUAGUUUUAACAGAAGGUUAUUUUCUAUGGCUAUGCACUGGAAAGAGAAUCUGCCUAUAUGCUUAACUGAUGAAGCAUGGGUGUCUUCUCCGUUGAACAAGGUGAAGUGUGGUACCUUAAAGCCCAGGGAUAGAGGUAUUUGAUCGAUAUAAGCUGGAUAAGGCUUUCUGUAGGUGGGCCUUUCUCCUCUUCUGGCCUCAGGUUCCAUCAUCUCUCUGAUCAUUCUAUAAAGUGCCCCCAUGUCAUUCAAAGCAUUGACAUGAUGCGGGGUUCGCCCCUGUUCUGGCUAGUUGUGUUCAAUCCUUUGUUCUACUUUAUAUGGCCUGGGCAGAACUUCCUCCCUAUGCUCUUCCUCUUUUUCGAAAUCUGGAUGAUUCCUUUAGUUUGCCCCCGGUCUGUUUUUGUCAUUGUUGGCAAAGGGUUUAACUCCUACUCUACCUCUCAUGCCACUUGCUAGUGGAGGGAAUGGAUUGGGGUCCAUCCUUCUAGGUCUGUAGGGCAACACAACUGGUUGCUCAGGCAGAAGUGCCAAGGCCUGAUCACGUGGGGCCACUAGUUGUGGAAUAGGUGGAGGUUCUGGCUAGUUCUGAGGGGGUCUGAACUGGUGCAGAGCCUUCUGGAUGAACUGAAUCCUCAUGUUCUUGGAUGGGAAGGGCUCCUCCCCUCUGUCCAGCUUGGAUUUCUCCAUGUCCUGGUAUUCCAGCUAUCUGUGUGAUGAGAGGCUUCUCUUCAUAUGGCCAUGCCAGUCCUGGUAGAGGUCCAAAAGGGAGAUCUAGCUGCUGGACCACCAUGUCUAGGUUUGGAAUUUUGGCAAUAGUAGCCUCACGGUCCUUCCUGAACUGCCUGUUGACUUGCCAUUACAUCAUGGUUGUCAUGUUGUUUAGAGUAUCUUGGCUCAUUUGUGCUGUGGCUUCUUGCCGAAACACAGCCUCCUGUAUCUAGUUUAACCUUCUGGAACCAGACAUGGAACGUCUACUCGUGGUACUGCCAUGGGCUGAUUACCUAGCAUCACUUUCUUUUGACUCAAGUCCUUUUCGGAGAGCUGCUUGAUCUCUUUUCAUGGCAUAGCGUGGAUUCUGGCUAGAACUUCCAAUAUUCAUAUACUAGAGGAUUUUUCUAGAAAUAUAUGUAUUGAGAAGUCCCACUGGGCGUGCCAAAUUGUUCAUCCGUUUUAGAUUUGUUCCUGUGAUGGUAGGGUAAAGUUCCUCAUUGACUUGAAAACCAUUGGUGGUCAAUAAGUCAACUUUCUUUUGUGUACAAAUGUGCCACUGCUAGCAAUAAAAACCCUAGCAGACUUCUUAAAAAUAGAAAACUUGUGCCCAAGUUAUUAACUUCUAAAUAAGCGAUUGUGAAUUUGGGCGAGGAAUAUCUCCCAAGUAAGUUCUUUUCUUUGCCUCAGAUUGGUGAGGACUUCACAAUUUUUCACAGUACAAAACUGGUAGUUCUAGCUAGAAUAAAUGAUAAGAAAGUGAACUGUUUUCAGGCAGAACUACCUUUUACAAAGCUUAAAAAGGAAGACCAACUCUAAAAAGACAAAAAGAGCUUUUGGACUUCAAUUUCUGCUUGGAUAAAUGCUUCUGAUCCGGGCUGGACUGGGUAUGUUUGUGCUGGACUGGACUAUCAACACCUUCAACUGUCAAGUUUUAGCUGUCAAUGAAUACCAAUGUUCGAGUGUGGCAAAGCUUCAAUCUAUUUCAAGCCGUGCAAGGCUUUUUGAACGGACAGAAUUGGAACCUCUUCAGUCUGGAAGGGGUAGAAGUGGCUGAAUUUGGUGAUUACUGAGCUGGAACUGCACUGUAGUACCUGUUCUGCUUGAUCAGGGCUCUCCAUAAAUUUGUUGAGGUUUUAAUAUUGGUAAAACCCGAAGCUUAUGUUGAACCAACUUUGUAACGAGAGAAAUCUUGCUUUGAAUGACUAUUUCUCUGAAACUAAACAGAAGUUAGAGAUUCUGGAAUAUAGCUGACUUGUUUCUUAUGGCUCAAUGAGCUUUUGGUUGCUUCAGUGUUUUGAAGGCUUUUGAGAUCAAGUGAUCAUUUUGAGUUUUUAUUUUUGAUUGAUUUUUUGGCUGUCCUUUUAUCUGUUCACCUCAUCUCAUAUUUAUAGAAUAUACUGGAGUGUGAUUUCUAAUCUUUUAAUAAUGGGCGGCAAAUCUUUUAAAAGAUCUUUUUUUCUUUUUUCAAUGUCAUAAGAGAAGGAAGCUACUAUUCUGACAGAGAAAGGUUGUCAACAAUCAUCUUUCAAUUUUUCUAUGUUCACUUUUUGUUCUUUGUAAAGAGAAAGAACACAAUCUACCAUGAUGGUCAGUGUGCUUUUCCUGUUGAACAACUCCCUCGUUCUCUACUUAUCUCUUGAAAACGUAGUCUGCUUAUCUCUUGGAAAGACCACCUGAUUUGGUGCAGAGCUUCUCUAUAUAUAUAUAUAUAUAAAGGGAUUUUGAUCUUCUUCUUUUGGCUGAAAAAAUAGAGAAGUCUUUCUGUAAGACCUGCCUUCAUUAAUUUUCUAUCAACUUCUCUGUAAUAGUUGAAAAUUUUGACUUUUCAAAGCCAGGUAUUCACGUGGGGUUGUUUAGAAAAGAUCUGUUGAUUUUGUCAAUCUUUUAGGGUAGAGAUUAAAUAGCGUAAAAAGGCUGGGCUAGUCUCUUUUUCUUAGUAGAUAAAAAGCCCAAAUAUUUUGUCUCACUGCCCUUUUCUGGAAAAUAAAUGGGCUGGGUGUGUUGGAAAUUGGCCCAAUCUUAAGAAAGACUCUGGUGGCUGCCCAAAAUUGACAUAGGCUUUUCUUGAUUUUGGGCUGGGCAUGCCAAAUUAGGCCCAAACAAUGCCCCUUAAGUCUGAAUUGUUUUUGGAAUAGUUUCAGACUUAAUGAUUUGGCCAUUAAUUUGUGCGCGCCAUUUCCUUCUGUUAGCCCACAUCUGCCACGUCUGCCUAUUAUGAUCAAGACUUCGUGGGAAAGUGGGCAGUUACUAGCUAGUUAUUAUCAGGUGGCGUCUUGUCUUCUUCUUCCCACGAUUUCGAGUCUUUCUAAGAAAUUUAAAAAGACCUCAGCUCCUGUUUACUCAAAACCUAACUUCUUCAGACCUUGAUUUUCCUCAGUUUUCUCAGAAUUUUUACCCUUUUCUGCGAUCAAACCCUGCUUCCUUUCAGUUUGAUUCCCCUAUCCUAGCUCAAAACCCGAAAAUGUCUUCUCCAAAAAAUCGUGCCCAGACUUCUUCUUAUUCUGUUCCUCCUACCUACAUUACUGGGGCCGGUGUUGAUAAGCAUGUGAUUGAAGUCCGGAGCAAGCUUCAUCCUUUUGCCCAGAACGUUCUGGACAAGAACGUGUUACAUUUGUUCGAGAACACUCUUGUUUUGGAGCCUCAUCGGUUUGGUUCUGUCCCGACUGAAAUGGCAGAAUUGUUUAAAGAAUAUACUGAAGCUCCUCUAUGCUUUCAGAGCUCUUUCGUAGAUUUCAGUUUUAUAUAUAAACUAUCGUGUUUCUCCCUAUAACAUGUCGUUUUUAAGAAUUGUUGUCAAUGUUUUAUUUCCUGCUACUAUAAGACGGCGAUUAUUUAUACAUAUGAGACGUGUAAAUUAGAAUGAGACGUCAGUCUUUGGGAUUUAAAUUAAGUUUUUACGAUUUAAUGUCAUUUUAGUUCAUAUAAGGACAUAAAUGUCCUAACCAAAAAUAUAUUUAUGUACAUUGUCAAUAAAUUAAAAUAAACCUAAACAUUGUUAAAAUAAAUUAGAUCACUUAUUAUUCUGUAAUUACUUGUUAACGAAUUCAGCCCAUUCCAACCUGACUUCGUCAAUAUGUUCUUAUACAUACUGAACUGGUUCCUUUUUCUUAUCAAACUGCAAAUAAAUAACAAAAACCAACGUGUUAUAAAGAUUACAACGACUGCUUUUAAAGAAAAAGUUGUGGUACUAAAAUAAAGAAUUUAUAUCUUAAGUUUUGCCUUUUACCUUCUUCUCAAAUGCUAGGCCUGGAUCAUGAAUUAUAUCUCUCAUGAAAUGCAUCACGUAAUAGCCACACUCUACAUUUGUUGGUUGUCGAGGAGUGCCAUGUAGAUUUUUCCAUAUGACUGAUUUACAUGAUGAUUAAUUGCCUGUGUGAGAGUUAUACAUUUUGAUUGAACUGUUUCAAGAAAAUGAAAAGUGUUAAUGAUAAAAAUAAAAAUCUAAAGCAAAAAUAUUAAACGUCGUGGUAAAUAAGUGAAGACGAUGGUUUUGUUAAAAAAGUGAUGUUGUAUUUCAUUUCAAACGUUGGUAAAUAAAAACCGUCGUUGUGUAGAAUUCUAACGUCGGUGACGAUGAAAAAUGACGUAUAACCAAAAAUUGUUUGUAAAUGAAAGUUGAACAGAAAAAAAUAAAACUUCCUUAAAUGAAAAACACAAACGACGUGGUAUUUCAAUUAAAAUGACGGUUUACAGAAAAUACUGACGUUGUAAAUGAUUUCAAACAUCGGUUUGAAGUUACCAUCGUGUUUUCAUUGUAACGUCGGUAUUAGAAAAAGCCGUAUAUCAUUCAAAUGCAAAUAAAAAAAUGUUAGAUUUUCAUAGAUAAACUUACAUAUUCACUAUAUUUCUCAUGUCCUCGUCAACAACGCGGUUUGGCAAUGAAUCCAUGUAAUAGAUAGUCUCCUUCGCUGGUCUCACAAUUAUUAACACCCAAUGACCCCUACACAUAAUGAUCCAUAUAGGUUAAAUAUACUAGAAAGAAAAAUAGGCAUCAAGUAUAGUUAAGGGGACUAACCUUGGAUUACAAGGCACCAUGUAAAAUUGAUCCCCAUUUGCGUUUUUCAGGCGGUCUGAGAGAUGUUUCAAACGGUAAGAUAACGUUCCAGAUUGAGAGCUGACUUGUCCAAGGUCCACGAAGCCAAUAAGGUUUACCAUAUUUUCUAUUUUUAAAUAGUCAAAUAGGCACCUAAAUAUAUGAAAUUCAAUUAAAUGAGAUUUUAACUUUAAAGAAAGGAAAUGUAUAAUGCAAUCACUGUGGAUCCAAUCUCAACCAUGGAAGGAAAUUGUAAAAUAUCUUCACACAAGAGGAAGGUAUCAUGGUUAAUGCCAAAGGCUUCCUCUGGAAUGUGAAUUCUAAUGGUCUCGUUAAUGGGCUUCAACUUGGUCUCGACAAAUUGAAAUAAGGCUAACAGAGGAGGUGGCAUGUCUAGCUUUGAGAGAUCCUGUUACAACAAAUAAAUAAAGAAAUAUAAGUUAGUUUGUACACUAAGUAAAAUAAACGACUCUAACUAAACCAAUCAAACCGACGUGGUAUAUAAUAUAAUCGACAGUUUCUAGAACAUACUGAAGGAGUAAAGGUUAUAGACGACGGUAAAGACAUAACCAUCGUUAUGUAAAUGUUCUAACGUCGCUGCAUUAUGGAAAGGUCGUCUAAUUAAAAUGCAGUGAAGCCUUUAUUGAAAUACACGACAGUUUAUAAAAUAAACACCGACGUAGUAAAAUACUGAGACGACGGUUAUCAGCAACGUCUAUUUGAAAUUAUAAAUCAGAAAAAAUCAAAUAUCAAAGAUUUUACCGUUUCAUCUUGCCAUUGUUUAGCAACAUCAGCAUCAUUCGUGGGAUUUUCUUCCUCCAAAACAAGGGGUCUCACAUUAGAGCAGCUUGCUUUGUCAGACAUUAGAUUUUUUGGAGUAAUUGGAGUUUUAUUGAGCAAGUUGGGAUCACAGUUGGGAAUUAGUUGACUGAAUUGUUUCAAUAAAAUUUCCCUCUCUGCUCUGACUGCCUCCAAAACAGUUUCUUUUGCCUUAGCUUUAAUCUUUUUGGUUUCUUCUCUCACUGCCUCCAUAACACUUUCCUUCAAUUUGUUAGCAAAUUUUACUCUCUGCUGUCUCGACAAAUUGAAGAAUUGAGUUGGGGAAACCCCAGCUCCAACACCUCUAACUCUCCCACCAUGCUCAGGGGUUCCCAAAGCCAAGGUCAAAAUAUCGUUGCUCUCAGAGACAGCAGAGUGCCCUCGGAAACUUGUUUUUUCAAAUCAUCCUAAAAGUGAGAGAGAGAGAGAGAGAAUGUUAGUGAGUGAACAGAUAGUAAAACAGAUUAAAUAAACAACUAUACAAAAAUAUUAACCGACGUGGUAAAGACUUUAAAAAACUGAAAUCAAUCCCCAAUAGUAACAGGGACCAUGCAGCAACGAUUUGGUUGACAGUAGUAUAGGUUGGAGAUGCUGUUGAUCAUUAGAUACUAUUUUUUUAAAUAUCAAUUCUGUAACAUCCAGACCUAAAAAAUUAAUGAUUUUGAUUUAAAAUUAAAUUUAAAUAAGCAAUUACGAAUUUACCCUUGGGGAAGGGGUAUUUUGGUAUUUUUUUUUUAUUCAGAAAGAGUUUGGGGCAGUGACUAGUAUUUUUGGGUAGAUCGUACUGAGACGAAUCCGUAGACACGCGGUAGGCCUGAAUCGGAGUUGUAACGAAGAAACGGUGACCAAAAUUAGUCCAGUGGCAAACUUGUAAAUAUUUUGAACUUGGGUGUAGAAAAAUCUGAAACUGGCUUCCUCUCUCCUGCGUGCACACGUCCUUCUCUCUCUCUCCUCUCUCUCUCCUCGAUACCAUCACUCUCUGUCUCUCUCUUCGAUUCUCUCAAUUCUGGCCACGGCAAGGGCCGGGACUGGUUCCGAUCAACUCCUCACAAAGCCCCGAACCAGAACCACCACUUUUCUUGGCCGGAAAGCUCGAGUUUCGCGUGGUAAUCUCGACUGGUUUGAACCAGUUUUCCUCCGUCAUUGUGCCGCCGCCAUCGCAGCCCAAUCUCGGUUAAACAAGUGAGGUUUCUUACUCUUUUUCCGAGCUCUAGCUGCCUGUUGGGUAGGAUUGGAUUGAUUUUUUGUCUAGGAUCCCGAUUUUGAAACCUAAGUUUUGACGAAUUUCAAAGUGAAAUUCCGGCCGGUUGCCGUCCUAAUUAGACCUCCCCGUAGUUGAAUAAAGUGAUCCUCGCUUCGAGUAGUAGCUAAGGUAGGAAUGGUGAAUUGCGGUGUGGAGUUUUUCCAUCACUGAAAAUUACUCUACACAUCCACGCGUUGCCAGGGCAUGUGGAGGCGCAUGGGCAAUGUGGUGAGACCACAUUUUAUCCUGAUGUAGUCUCCUAGUCCUCACGUGCGCGUAAGUGUGCUCGAAUUUCAAUUCGAAUGUUGUUUGACUAUCGAACGGAUUUAUGCAUAUUGUUUCUUAUCCGGGUUCAAUAUGUUCGGACCAUUGGAUCGAGUCCAAAUUUACGUAUGUUAAUCUAGGCACCCCUAGGAUCAUGUGCGAAUUCGCGGAUCGUGAAUCGGAGCCCCGAAUGUUCCGAUUCAAUAAUUUGAAGUUUAUGGUUUGCGAUAACCGUCAAUUUCUGACCAAACCUACAGGACGUGUUUCCUAAACCCGUAGUCGGACCUUAGAAUACUCGUUAUGCGUGCACGCACCGGGAACUUGAGAAAAUUAGUAUUUAAUUUGUAAAUUCCGUUUUGAAGUGAUUUUUUAUUAAUUAAGGGUGCGUAUCUCGAAAUAGGUGCUCCAUCACUAGCACGCAGCAGGUAGGACCCUCUUGAGGUCAGGCAGUGUGGGACUACUUGUGAGUGGACAUUUAUUUUAUAUAUGCAUUAUUUUCAAUGAUUGAAAGAAUAUGCAUGAAAUAUAUAUAUUUUUUGGAAUAAAGAUUGAGAAAUUCAUAUGUUGUUAUAUCAGUAUUAUUUAAUUUAGAAUUUGGUUUGAUUUGAUGAUGAGUUAUAUAAAGGUCAAGUUAUUCGUGAUUAAGUCUUGGAUGAAUUUUGGGGGAAUCGGGAAUUGAAUAUUAUGGUUUAUGGUGGGAACUUAUAUGAUUACACUGUGUGGAGUACCAUCCCCUAGUUACUAGGCUUCCCACAUGUGGCGUUGGAAAUUUUCCAGCGUGUGAUGAUGUAGUCUGCACGCAUAGGACUUAGUAUUGGAGCUACACGUGGCGUUGGAAUUUCCGGCAUGUAAGCUAUGGAGUUUCGUCCCCCGGUUGGACCGCUCAUCCCUAGACGCAGGAUAGCAACUGAAAAUCUUGCGGGUUAGCCAAACAAUCCCCCGGUUGGAUUGUUUCCCCGGUACCUAAGUAGUGUGAUAAAUAUUAUGUAUAUUUAUAGAUAUAUAUAUUUCUAUGUGUGUGUGUGUGUGUGUGUGUGUGUGUGUGUGAGUAUAAAUCAGUUAAAGUAUAUGUAGUGGUUGGGUAAGAGCAGUAUAAAUUUUGGGGAUAAAGUUUAUGGAUAGAGUGAUUGAUCUCAAAGGGUUUCGGAGAAUGAUGUUUUUGAUCAUUAAAUAAAAGUUAUGAAUCUGCAUGUCUUGAGCAUUAUUUUUAGACGGUGGGGUUAUUAUGUUGUUUUGAAUGCAAAUUUUGUUUUUCCACUCACAUGUUUUCUGUUUUGCGCCCCCCAAACAGUAGUCGCUCAAGGGAGAGUUGCAAGCCAUGUUCGAGGCCCCGAACUGUGAACAUCAGUAGAUUAGGUUUCGAGUAAUUUCUUUCUACUCAACUGGAUGUUCUUGUAAACUAAAUUCGUUAGAUGCUCUAUUAUUGCCCCUGUUAGGUUUUACUUGUGAGGCCAGAGGCCAUUUAGUUUAUACUGUUGAAUAAUAAAUGCAUGCUGCUGGUUGGGAUUAUAUUGUGCUUAUGCAGGUUGAAAUUUUUGGGAUUGUUCAAUUUACAUGGGAGACUCUAGCAAAAUUUUAGUAGAGAGUCUCGGUUUUUAAUAAGUGGGCCAGGCAUCGGGGUAAUGUCGGAAAUAAGACUGGAUUCGUCCCGGUUUCCGAAGAAUUCGAGGCGGGUCCUGUCAAGUUCCUCCUAUUAACAAUAAUAAAUUAAAUAUUUAUAUAACUGAUAACAGUUCCUCAUAUUAACAAUAAUAAAUUAGUAUUUUGUAUAAUAAACAUGUUUAAUGAAAUUCAUCUUCUUCUAGCAUGUUUAUUUAAAUUCUAAGUUUUCUGAAGAAAAAAAAAAAAAAAAAGGAGAAGGAAAUGUCCUAAAUUAAAUCUUAAAAGUUCAUUUUUUUCUGUCCCUAUAUAUUUUUUACCCAAUUAUAAUUUGAGAAAAAAAGGUGAAUUAACUGUCAUUUCACCUUCAUCAUUUUCAUGAUUUAUAUAAGAUUCUUCAAAGAUCAUUUCCACAAAAAAUUACUUAAAUUCGAAUCCAUUUAACCGUCUAAUUAAAUCGUUAGGACCGUUGAAAUAAAAUUUAAAGUGAGUUUAAAGUGAGUCCUACUAUGUCUCCCUCAAAUAAGAUCAUUUACAGGAUCUGUCGAGUCAUAUGAGAAUGUUUAGCUUUUCGAUCCCAAGAGUUUGGUUCGAUUUUCAUAUAUAUAUAUAUAUAUAUAUAUAUAUAUACAAGUCAAUUUACUUUAAAAAGUUCACCAAAUUUUAUUUUUGGUCUCGGUAGUUUGCUUGAGGGCCUUUUUCUGUCAAUCUAUUUGUUGUGAUUGAAAGAUUUUAUAUAAAACAAAAGAUAUGUUUUUAUCUUAAAAAAUGCUUAUUUUCAGAUCUUUACAUAUAGACAUACAUAUGGCCUGAGAAUUCAAGCAAUAAAGACAUAAGCUGAUGAGCAUUCAUAAUCAUUAGAAUGAGUACUGAAUGGUCAACUCUUUCAAAAUACUUCGGAAAAAAACAAAGGACAAUACUUCCUUCCUUACUCAUAAGAAGGAACUCCUUCUCACCUUCUAUUGUCCCUCAACCACAAAGUAACAAGUGUUCUCUUUUUUUAAUUGUCAAUUUUUUUUUUUUCACUUUUACUGAACCCCUAGCUUUUUACCAAAGCAAAAAACACAAAACAAUAUUCCCAUUGUUUUUUUUUUUCAUUUUGAUUUUUUUCUCAACUUUUUGAAAAAUAACAUUUUUCCUUCUUCAGUAAAAAAUUGAAGUCUUUGUGGUUAAAAGCUAAGGUUUCAGUAAAGGUUUAAAAUAAAUAAAAAGUUUUGACAAUUCAAAAAACAGAACACAUAUCACUUUGUGGUUGAGCCGCAAUAGAAAGUAAGAAAGAAUUCCACCUUACCCAUAAGGAGGGAAGUAUUGUCAAAAAGAAAACAUCUUAAAAAACACACAGAAAACCCACCAUCACUACUUAAAAGAAGUAGAGAAGUCCAACAUUCUGAUUUUUAUACACCUACGUGACGUGAGCAUUCAAUAAUCAUCCUACACAUAUGUUGAUGUGAGCAUUCAAAAUCAUUAGAAUGAUUUAAUUGAAGACUCAACGUACGGACGUCUUUUUCACUUAGAUUCCCUUCCUGUACAAACUUGAAUCAGUUCCUCCACGACCCCAUCAAUCUCUUCAUCCUCUUUCUUGUUCACGUUGUCGCUUAUUUUCAAUGCCUUUUUUCUCACUCCCUCUCCAAAUUUCUCCACAACCACAUCUCUAAUCACCUUUGCGACCUCUUCUCUUUGCAAACUUCCUUCACCUGUUCUCUUAACCUCCACACCAACACCCACCUCCUCCACUAGUCUAGCGUUGAUCGGCUGGUCAAGAUGCAUAGGCAUGGCUAUAAUUGGAACACCAAACUUGAUGCUCUCCAACACUGAGUUCCAUCCGCAGUGACUCACAAACCCCCCAACACUAGAAUGCUGCAGUAUCUUUGCCUGUGGGGCCCAACCCUCCAUUAUCACUCCCUUCUCUCCCACCCUCUGUAAAAACCCUUCUGGUAACACCUCUUCAACCCUAGUACUUCUCUCCUCCUUAGAAAAUCUUAUAACCCAAAUGAAGCUCACUUUGCUAAGCUCUAAUCCGUGAGCUAUCUCUUCUAUUUGCUCCUUGGACAGAAAGUACUCACUGCCAAAGCAAACAUACACAACAGAAGACCUUUCCAUUUUGUUCAGCCAUUUCAUGAUCCAUGUUUCCUCAUCAACUUUUUGAUCCAUUGGCUCUUGAACAAGCGUGCCAACAGGCACGAUCUUCUUCCCCGUUAAAUCAGAGAGAUAAUCAAUAUAUUUUUCUUCAAUCUCGCUGGAUGUCUUGACCAAAAUGAUGUUACAAGAUCGAGCACUGCAUUGCUGAACACGGUCUCCGUCUUUGAUGCCAUUUGCUGAAGAUUCCAACAAAUUGUUGAACUUUUCAGCUUCGUAAUGUUGAAGAUAAAUCGAAGGAAAAGGAAACUUGACACUAGGGUUCUUGAGAUGUUGAAUACUAAAUGAAGUAAAGGCAGCACCCAUGGUGGUGAAUUCAAUGGAUGGAAAAUUUUGCAAUGAAGCUAGAGAGGGCGCCCAUGGUUGAAGAACAUCAUAUAUGAGCAAAUCUGGACUUAGGGUUUUGAGGAUGUUGGAGAAGUUGUUGCUGGACAUGCUGAAAGCCGUUUUGAGAGUGGACAUGAGAUGGGGAGGGAGGCCAUUGGUGGUGUGGUAGUGCGGUGGGAGUUCAGGCAAGUCAUCAUGUGGAAGAUGGAGUUCCACAAAUUCAAUGCAAUGAGAAUAUUUUUGGGAGAGUUUAGGCUUGAUGGAGCUGAGAUUUACAGGCGUGGAACAAAUAAAGAUGUGAAAAUUUCUCUUGGUGGUCAGCUUCUUGGCUAGCUCUAGGUAGGGAGAUAUAUGGCCGUGAGCUAGCCAUGGAAGCAAAAGAAUAGUAAGGCUUCUUUGGUCAGAGAAAACCAUAUUUUGUUUUCCUUUGACUUGUUUUCCUUUGACUCUUUUGCUUGAGGUUGCUCGAUUAUAGGCUUAUUGGUAGUUUGUUUGUGGCUAGCUCUAUGCAUAUAUAUAUAUAUAUAUAUAUAUAUAUAUAUAUAUAUAUACACACACAAAAACGCGUGAUGAUUGGAACAUGCACACGUAAGUUCCAGAGAGUGAUGAUUGGCCUAUGAUAAAGACUCGAAACAAGAAUAGUUUAAAUUUUCUUCUUUGUUUGGCUUGAUAUAAGACGAAUGCACCAAACAAACCGACUAAAUGCCGACACAAUAAUUAGGUACGUAAUAAUAUCAACUUUCAUUAUAUAGAUCUGAGAAACAAAAAGUUGAACUUUGAUGACAAGCGAUAUUAAGGAAGGGCACAAUCGAACUUAGGAUCUCGAAUGUUGAAGUACAUGCUCUUAACAACUUGAGCUAUAAGGUAUUUGUAAUGACAAUUUAUGGUUUUAAUUAUACUUUUGAAUAGUUGCUUCCUUCUCUUUCAUUUUUAUUUUUAUUUGUUUAUAUUUAACUCUAAUUUUAUUUAUAUUUCUGGUCAAGGUAUAAAGACUUUGAAUCUCUCUCCAAUUAUUUUUCACAGCCGAAACUCCUUUAGUUUCCACAAAUCUUUUUAAACAUUUCAGGCAUAUGUAUGUUUCCGAGUCGGAUGGUUCACGUAACCAAGAAAUUUAAACUUGUUUUUGUUUGUUCCUCCGAAGAAAGCACAACAAAAGGACAACCUACAACCAAUACUUCUCAUUGAAUUUGUUGCCGUGAAUGAUUAGGACUCUGCCCAAACUAGUAGUUGCGUUUCUGAAUUGUUUGAAAACACAUAUCAAAUUAUGAUUUCUCCUCCCCGAAAGAAAAAUUGACGUAGAAGUAUCAUGAUCUUGAUGACACAAAUUAGAAUCUAGGGUUUUCGAAGUGCCUAAUGGACAACUACUUAUUUAGAAAUAUAUAUAUUUUUGUGGCUAAAAUUUAAAUUUAUUAUAUAUAUUCUCAAUGCAGAAACACAUAAAUCUAAGUUCGAAUUCAUCCUUUUUUUGUUUUUUUUUUUUUGUUUUUUUAACCCAGAAGAAAAAUUGAGUCCCACUCUGCUGUGUAGAAUGCGCGUUUAGUAUAGAUUUUUUUAUUUUUGAGUCUCUUAUCUGGUUCCCGAGCUUCUACAUUUAGGUCUCGUGUAUUUAUCUGCAUUUUCUUAAAUCUAAAUCACUCAAACAAUCUAACCACUUAACAAAUGACACGUACUCAAACUUAAAAUCAGAAUGGAUGGAGUAGAGGCUUACACCGAUGAUUCUUGGUCAAGACUUGAGAGACAGAUGGAGACGAGGCAUGACAUAAAGUCUGAAGAAGAGAAACGAGGAAGCUUCAUUUAGAUGGUGGUGUAAGUGCAUACGUAAAGUCCAGAUUCAACAGGAAAGCAUCUUAAACGUAAAGAAAAUAAGUUUACCAGAAGCAAAAGAGAUACUGAAGUAAUUGUUUAUCAACUGAACUUAAACGAAAUAUUAACUCUUUGUUGUGCCAUAAGCACAAGAUCUUAUGAAAAAAAAUUCAAGAUAAACCAUAUAAUAUUGGGAGAUUCACGUUUAUACCGAAUAUAGGAAUUCAAAUUAUAAAAUAAAUAAAUAAAUAAAAUAAUCGAUAUGAAAUGGACUUUAGAAACACACACAAAGCCUAUUUACAACAUAACAAAAAGGUUUUUCCCUUCUUUUAAAUUACAAAACUGCCAUUGAUUUCUUAAAACAAACCCAACUCCAAAACCUCAUUAAAAAAGCACAAAACACUCAAUAGGGUGUCAAAGUAAUUUAAUAAUAAAAAAUAAAUUCAAUAAGGCCAAUUGAAUUUUUUGGAUUUUUUUUUGGGUUUGUUUAUAGAAAUUAAUGGUGUAGGGUUUAUCUAUAUUAUUGGUGUUAAGAAUGAAUAAUGACUAAAUAUCUCUAUAAUAUUUUCUAACUCACAAAAUAAUAUAGAAAAUAAAUGCAAGAACAAGAAAAUAGCAAUAUGCAAUUUAACGAAGCUGCUUACAAUCAGUGCAAAUGAGCAAACAAAUUCGCUAUUAAUUUAUGAAGUGUUUUUGUAUUUACAAUACCGCCUCUUGAAUGUCCACCAUACAAUAAUAUAGUUGCAUCAUUAAAAACUUUACUUGAAAAAUCGUUUGGGACAAAACUUAAGCUAAGAGAAAAAGAGUGCAACACAAAUGAUAUUGACAUCACAUAUGUCUCUCCUACAGAGUGAGCUUUGGUGAUGCUUGUAUAAAAAUUGCUUUCACAUCAUUAUUGGGAGAUGUAUGUAUGUCAUCAAUCAUUUGAAUCUUGUUGAGGUUAAAGUAAAACCAAAAAAAUAUCAAGGGCCAUUUUCAUAUAGUUUUUCACAAUAAAAAUUAACAAAAUAACUUCAUGUUCUUUAAUAUCAUCAAAAAAAUAAUAUAAACAAACUCAUAGUUUACCUUUUCAAUGAUAAGUGUUUGGAAAAUUUACAUGGAAUAAUAUUUGGUAUGCUAUGCUAGCAUCUCAUAAGCUCUUCAAGAGACCUAAAUUUUAUGAUAACUUCUUAAAAAAAUUUGAAUACUUUUCAACAAUAUUAAACUUGAAUUCAAACUCAUAAUUCAAUCAAAGUACUCAUUGAGGCAAUUUAGAUCAUUUUCAUUUUAAGAAAAUUGGGUGCAUACAUUGAGCUUCAUGCCCUUUACCUUCUUAGAGAUUUUCUUCGAGCAAUUUAUAUUGCAUGACAGAUUAUAUCUCUUAGAAUUUGUUCUUAUGUAUUCUUCAAGAGAUCUCUUCUUGCAAUAUGCUUCAAACACUUCAUAAUCUUUAUAGAUUUUUCAUGUAGAUUUAAGGUCUCCAUGAAUAUUGAGAUUGAAACAAGGAGUAAAAUAAAAGUUUAAGAAAAAUUUUCCCUGAUUAUUUUGUAAUUAUAAUGUUGGUGAAAACCUAAUUUCCUUUCUGAAAUUUGUGAAAUUUGUUAUUUGGCUAAGCUAAAAGUAUAAUAUUGACAAUAAAACGUAUACGAAAGUUUCUCUUUGGCUGGCUUCUUGGCUGGCUCUAGGAAGGGACAUUGCGGCCAUGAGAUAACCAUAGGAAGCAUAAUAAGAAUGCUUGGAUGCUCUGAACAAUCCAUUUUCUGACUCUUUUUCUUGAGGCGGUUGUUUUCUUAGGCCCAUCAGAGUUUAUGGUCGACAGAUAAGCUUCAAACACAUGCAUUGGUCGUGUCAGUUGCGAUAAACUCUUCCCAACAAUCUGAGACUCACAUCACUCCAAACACAUAAAAAGAAGUGGAAAUUUGCUAUUCUUUGUCUUUGUUUGGACAGCUAAUAGCAAAGCAUUGGAAACAUCGAAAAAAGAAAGUUAAUUAAUUUAAGAAAAACAAAGAAAUCCUUCUUUUUUUUUCUUUUUUUUUUCAGCAAACCGAAACAUAAAAUCCGAAAAAGAAGAAGGCAUGUCCAAAAUUACAUCUUGAAUUUAUUUUGGAGAUUCACUAUUAUACUCAAAUUAUAUAUGAAAUAAAUUUUAGAAACACACAUGACGCCAAUUUACAAUAUAACAAAAAAACUUUUAACUUCUUGUAAAUUACAAAAUUGUUAUCGAUUUCUUAAAACAAGCCUAAUCCUAAAACCUCAUAAAAAAAAAAUCAAAACACUCAAUAAGGCAUCAAAGUAAUUUAAUAAUUAAAAUUAAAUUUAAUAGGGUCAUCUGUCAUUUUUUGGAUUUUUUUCGAAGUUGUUUAUAAAAAUUAAAAUAAUGUAUAGUUUGUUUAUAAAAAUUAAAUGAUGUAGAGUUUCUUUAUAUAAUUAAUGUUAAUAAUGAGUAUAUGAAUAAAUGUCACUUUUCUUUAUUAACCAUUUAUAAUAUAUGAACUCAAGACUUCCUAUCGAACACCGAAUGGUCUUUCCAUUCCUUGUUAAUUCAAAGUCUGAAAAUGUUCGGUGUCAGCUCAUGAAUUUAAAGGCUUAAAGGCUCAAAACUUGAACGAAUAUGAAAGAAAAAAGUCGUUCACCGUUCAUCCUCUUCCUGCAGCUGUGCAUGCUAAUCACCCACUGAAUUAAACAUACAAAUACGCUUUAUGUUUUCUCAAAUUGUUCUUUGAACUAAGUAGAGGUUGGAAUACACUCGGGGUCAACAUUGUUCAAAUACAAAACACUUCUUAAUUUUAUAUUUUAUCAAAACAGAUCGAAACUUCAUUCAAACUGAGAACCUAGAUUACAAAACUACCAGAAAAACUGGAAUCUGCACUGUGGCCUCAUUAAAACCUUGCUUUAAAAAACUCCUAAAAGAGGAGAAUUCAGUCAAGAAAAAAGAGUACCACAGCAAGUGAAAUCCGAUAUCAUACUUCAUUCCUUUCUCAUACAAAGUUGAAUCAACUGCUCUACCACCCCAUCUAUCUCUUCAUCCUCUCUCUUUUUCAUGUUGUCUCUCAAUUCCAUUGCCUUUCUUUUCAAACCCUGUCCAUUUUCUUCCACCACCACAUCUCUGAUUACUUUUGCUAUCUCGUCCCUUUUCAGCCUCCCGUUCUCGUUGCCGCCUCCUCCCAUUCUCUUAACCUCCACACCAACUCCAACGUCCUCUACUAUUCUAGCGUUAAUAGGCUGGUCAAGAUGCAUAGGCAUGGCUACAAUUGGAACGCCAAACUUGAUGCUCUCCAACACUGAGCUCCAUCCACAGUGGCUCACAAACCCACCAGCACUAGAAUGCUUCAAUACUUUUGCCUGUGGAGCCCAACCAUCCACUAUUAUUCCCUUCUCCCCCACCCUCUCAAAAAACCCUUCUGGUAAUACCUCUUCAACCCUAGUACCUUUCUCUUCCUUAGGAAAUCUUAUAACCCAAAUAAAACUCACUUUGCUAAUCUCUAGCCCAUGAGCUAUCUCUUCUAUUUCCUCCUUGGAUAAAAAGUACUCACUGCCGAAGGAAACAUACACCACCGAAGAUCUUUCUCUAGUGUUUAGCCACUUCAUGAUUUUUGUUUCCUCCGAAUCCACUUCUUGCUCUAUAAGGUCUUGAACAAGUGAACCAACAGGCACAAUCUUCUUCCCAAUUAGAUCAGAGAGAUAAUCAAUAUAUUUUGCUUCAAUCUCUCUAGAACUCUUAACUAAUACGAUCUUACAAGAACGAUCGCUGCACUGCUUAGCACGGUCUCCAUCACUGAUGCCAUUUGAUGAAGAUUCUAACAACAUCUUGAUCUUACUAGUCUCGUAAUAGAUUGAAGGAAACGGAAAUUUGACACCAGGUUUCUCGCCAUGGUGGGUACAAACUGACAUCAUGGCAGCACUGGUUGUGAAGAACUCGAUGGCUGGAAUGUUUUGUAACAAAGCUAGAGAGGGUGCCCAUGGUUGAAGAAAAUCAUAAAUUAGCAAAUCCGGGUGUAGGGUUUUGAGGAUGUUGGAGAAGUUAGGGCUUGCCCUGUCGAAGGCGGUUUUGAGAGUGGACAUGAGGUGGGGUGGGAGGCCAUUGGUAGUGUGGUAAUGAGGUGGGAGUUCAGGCAAGUCGUCAUAUGGAAGAUGUAGUUGCACGAGUUCAAUGCAACGAGAGUAUUUUUCAGAGAGUUGUGGCUUGAUGGAUCUGAGAUUUACAG